UACGGGGGGAGCAAGCGUUGUUCGGAUUUACUGGGCGUCAAGUGCGCGUAGGCGGUCGUGACAAGUUACUUGUGAAAUCUCCGGGCUUAACUCGGAACGGUCAAGUGAUACUGUCGGACUAGAGUACAGAAGGGGCAACUGGAAUUCUCGGUGUAGCGGUGAAAUGCGUAGAUAUCGAGAGGAACACCUGCGGCGAAGGCGGGUUGCUGGGCUGAUACUGACGCUGAGGCGCGAAAGCCAGGGGAGCGAACGGG
RNAcentral lists this ribosomal RNA (254 nucleotides) under uncultured bacterium. RNAcentral describes it as "partial 16S ribosomal RNA". It matches the Rfam family "Bacterial small subunit ribosomal RNA", at positions 524 to 776 of the family's 1533-position model. The record is from RNAcentral.